GACGAACGCUGGCGGCGUGCUUAACACAUUCAAGUCGAACGGAAAGGCCCUGCUUGCAGGGUACUCGAGUGGCGAACGGGUGAGUAACACGUGGGUGAUCUGCCCUGCACUUCGGGAUAAGCCUGGGAAACUGGGUCUAAUACCGGAUAGGAGCCAUUUUUAGUGUGAUGGUUGGAAAGUUUUUUCGGUGUAGGAUGAGCUCGCGGCCUAUCAGCUUGUUGGUGGGGUAAUGGCCUACCAAGGCGGCGACGGGUAGCCGGCCUGAGAGGGUGGACGGCCACAUUGGGACUGAGAUACGGCCCAGACUCCUACGGGAGGCAGCAGUGGGGAAUAUUGCACAAUGGGCGCAAGCCUGAUGCAGCGACGCCGCGUGGGGGAUGACGGCCUUCGGGUUGUAAACUCCUUUCGCUAGGGACGAAGCCUUUUGUGACGGUACCUAGAUAAGAAGCACCGGCUAACUACGUG
This 465-nucleotide ribosomal RNA is filed under the name uncultured bacterium. RNAcentral's name for it is "partial 16S ribosomal RNA". It matches the Rfam family "Bacterial small subunit ribosomal RNA", at positions 28 to 507 of the family's 1533-position model. The record is from RNAcentral.